UCGGGGAACGAUAACGGCGUCGAGCGGCGGACGGGUGAGUAAUGCCUGGGAAAUUGCCCUGAUGUGGGGGAUAACCAUUGGAAACGAUGGCUAAUACCGCAUAAUAGCUUCGGCUCAAAGAGGGGGACCUUCGGGCCUCUCGCGUCAGGAUAUGCCCAGGUGGGAUUAGCUAGUUGGUGAGGUAAUGGCUCACCAAGGCGACGAUCCCUAGCUGGUCUGAGAGGAUGAUCAGCCACACUGGAACUGAGACACGGUCCAGACUCCUACGGGAGGCAGCAGUGGGGAAUAUUGCACAAUGGGCGCAAGCCUGAUGCAGCCAUGCCGCGUGUAUGAAGAAGGCCUUCGGGUUGUAAAGUACUUUCAGCAGUGAGGAAGGCGGAUGCGUUAAUAGCGCAUUCGUUUGACGUUAGCUGCAGAAGAAGCACCGGCUAACUCCGUGCCAGCAGCCGCGGUAAUACGGAGGGUGCGAGCGUUAAUCGGAAUUACUGGGCGUAAAGCGCAUGCAGGUGGUUUGUUAAGUCAGAUGUGAAAGCCCGGGGCUCAACCUCGGAAUAGCAUUUGAAACUGGCAGACUAGAGUACUGUAGAGGGGGGUAGAAUUUCAGGUGUAGCGGUGAAAUGCGUAGAGAUCUGAAGGAAUACCGGUGGCGAAGGCGGCCCCCUGGACAGAUACUUACACUCAUAUUCGUGA
RNAcentral lists this ribosomal RNA (690 nucleotides) under Vibrio sp. RS1. Its description in RNAcentral is "bacterial SSU rRNA". It matches the Rfam family "Bacterial small subunit ribosomal RNA", at positions 73 to 758 of the family's 1533-position model. The record is from RNAcentral. Lineage: Bacteria; Pseudomonadati; Pseudomonadota; Gammaproteobacteria; Vibrionales; Vibrionaceae.